RNAcentral lists this transfer RNA (68 nucleotides) under Zingiber officinale. RNAcentral's name for it is "tRNA-Met". The record is from RNAcentral. Lineage: Eukaryota; Viridiplantae; Streptophyta; Magnoliopsida; Zingiberales; Zingiberaceae.
GUCAAGCGCAGUGGAAGCAUGGUGGGCCCAUAACCCACAGGUCCUAGGAUCGAAACUUAGCUCUGAUA